UGUUAGCGGCGGACGGGUGAGUAACACGUGGGUAACCUGCCUGUAAGACUGGGAUAACUCCGGGAAACCGGAGCUAAUACCGGAUAGUUCCUUGAACCGCAUGGUUCAAGGAUGAAAGACGGUUUCGGCUGUCACUUACAGAUGGACCCGCGGCGCAUUAGCUAGUUGGUGAGGUAACGGCUCACCAAGGCGACGAUGCGUAGCCGACCUGAGAGGGUGAUCGGCCACACUGGGACUGAGACACGGCCCAGACUCCUACGGGAGGCAGCAGUAGGGAAUCUUCCGCAAUGGACGAAAGUCUGACGGAGCAACGCCGCGUGAGUGAUGAAGGUUUUCGGAUCGUAAAGCUCUGUUGUUAGGGAAGAACAAGUGCAAGAGUAACUGCUUGCACCUUGACGGUACCUAACCAGAAAGCCACGGCUAACUACGUGCCAGCAGCCGCGGUAAUACGUAGGUGGCAAGCGUUGUCCGGAAUUAUUGGGCGUAAAGGGCUCGCAGGCGGUUUCUUAAGUCUGAUGUGAAAGCCCCCGGCUCAACCGGGGAGGGUCAUUGGAAACUGGGAAACUUGAGUGCAGAAGAGGAGAGUGGAAUUCCACGUGUAGCGGUGAAAUGCGUAGAGAUGUGGAGGAACACCAGUGGCGAAGGCGACUCUCUGGUCUGUAACUGACGCUGAGGAGCGAAAGCGUGGGGAGCGAACAGGAUUAGAUACCCUGGUAGUCCACGCCGUAAACGAUGAGUGCUAAGUGUUAGGGGGUUUCCGCCCCUUAGUGCUGCAGCUAACGCAUUAAGCACUCCGCCUGGGGAGUACGGUCGCAAGACUGAAACUCAAAGGAAUUGACGGGGGCCCGCACAAGCGGUGGAGCAUGUGGUUUAAUUUGAAGCAACGCGAAGAACCUUACCAGGUCUUGACAUCCUCUGACAACCCUAGAGAUAGGGCUUUCCCUUCGGGGACAGAGUGACAGGUGGUGCAUGGUUGUCGUCAGCUCGUGUCGUGAGAUGUUGGGUUAAGUCCCGCAACGAGCGCAACCCUUGAUCUUAGUUGCCAGCAUUCAGUUGGGCACUCUAAGGUGACUGCCGGUGACAAACCGGAGGAAGGUGGGGAUGACGUCAAAUCAUCAUGCCCCUUAUGACCUGGGCUACACACGUGCUACAAUGGACAGAACAAAGGGCUGCGAGACCGCAAGGUUUAGCCAAUCCCACAAAUCUGUUCUCAGUUCGGAUCGCAGUCUGCAACUCGACUGCGUGAAGCUGGAAUCGCUAGUAAUCGCGGAUCAGCAUGCCGCGGUGAAUACGUUCCCGGGCCUUGUACACACCGCCCGUCACACCAUGAGAGUUUGCAACACCCGAAGUCGGUGAGGUAACCUUUAUGGACC
RNAcentral lists this ribosomal RNA (1373 nucleotides) under Bacillus sp. (in: firmicutes). Its description in RNAcentral is "bacterial SSU rRNA". It matches the Rfam family "Bacterial small subunit ribosomal RNA", at positions 90 to 1450 of the family's 1533-position model. The record is from RNAcentral. Lineage: Bacteria; Bacillati; Bacillota; Bacilli; Caryophanales; Bacillaceae.